GAUGAACGCUGGCGGCGUGCCUAAUACAUGCAAGUCGAGCGAACGGACGAGAAGCUUGCUUCUCUGAUGUUAGCGGCGGACGGGUGAGUAACACGUGGAUAACCUACCUAUAAGACUGGGAUAACUUCGGGAAACCGUAGCUAAUACCGGAUAAUAUUUUGAACCGCAUGGUUCAAAAGUGAAAGACGGUCUUGCUGUCACUUAUAGAUGGAUCCGCGCUGCAUUAGCUAGUUGGUAAGUUAACGGCUUACCAAGGCAACGAGGCAUAGCCGACCUGAGAGGGUGAUCGGCCACACUGGAACUGAGACACGGUCCAGACUCCUACGGGAGGCAGCAGUAGGGAAUCUUCCGCAAUGGGCGAAAGCCUGACGGAGCAACGCCGCGUGAGUGAUGAAGGUCUUCGGAUCGUAAAACUCUGUUAUUAGGGAAGAACAUAUGUGUAAGUAACUGUGCACAUCUUGACGGUACCUAAUCAGAAAGCCACGGCUAACUACGUG
This 497-nucleotide ribosomal RNA is filed under the name uncultured bacterium. RNAcentral describes it as "partial 16S ribosomal RNA". It matches the Rfam family "Bacterial small subunit ribosomal RNA", at positions 28 to 507 of the family's 1533-position model. The record is from RNAcentral.